UGGCGCACGGCUCAGUGACACGUAGUCAACCUACCCUAGGGACGGGGAUAACCUCGGGAAACUGAGGCUAAACCCCGAUAGGCUAUAGCCUCUGGGAUGAGCUAUAGCUGAAAUCUAUAUGGCCCUAGGAUGGGACUGCGGCCGAUCAGGUAGUUGGUGGGGUAAUGGCCCACCAAGCCUAUAACCGGUGCGGGCUCUGAGAGGAGGAGCCCGGAGAUGGGCACUGAGACAAGGGCCCAGGUCCUAUGGGGCGCAGCAGGCGCGAAACCUCCGCAAUGGGCGAAAGCCCGACGGGGUUAGUCCGAGUGGUCCCUGCUGAAGGGGCCUUUUGCCAGCUGUAAAAAGGCUGGCGAAUAAGGGGUGGGCAAGUUUGGUGUCAGCCGCCGCGGUAAUACCAGCACCCCGAGUGGUCGGGACGAUUAUUGGGCCUAAAGCAUCCGUAGCCGGCUUAGCAAGUCCUCCGUUAAAUCCAACGGCUUAACCGUUGGGCUGCGGAGGAUACUGCUAAGCUAGGGGGCGGGAGAGGCGAGGGGUAUUCCCAGGGUAGGGGUAAAAUCCGUUGAUCCUGGGA
This 571-nucleotide ribosomal RNA is filed under the name uncultured archaeon. RNAcentral's name for it is "bacterial SSU rRNA". It matches the Rfam family "Archaeal small subunit ribosomal RNA", at positions 79 to 653 of the family's 1478-position model. The record is from RNAcentral.